AAGUCGAACGGAGACAAAACCUUCGGGUUUGUUUUAGUGGCGGACGGGUGAGUAACGCGUGAGCAAUCUGCCCUUUACUGCGGAAUAACAGAGAGAAAUUUCUGCUAAUACGGCAUGCACCGUAAAGGCCGCAUGGUCAUAUACGGGAAAGAUUUAUCGGUAGAGGAUGAGCUCGCGUCCCAUUAGCUAGUUGGUAGGGUAAAGGCCUACCAAGGCGACGAUGGGUAGCCGACCUGAGAGGGUGAUCGGCCACACUGGGACUGAGACACGGCCCAGACUCC
Molecule: ribosomal RNA, 281 nt
Filed under: uncultured bacterium
Lineage: Bacteria
Description: partial 16S ribosomal RNA
Rfam family: Bacterial small subunit ribosomal RNA
Source: RNAcentral